GGUGAAAGAUAGUGAACGUGAAUAUCGAUACCGCCGGCAGUCACGAUCAUGCCUUCGCCGGAAAUUGCUUCCGUGCUUGCGCCAACGACAAAAUCGAUGUUGUCCAUAUUGUCAGGAUUGCCACCCUUGCCGAUUGCCAAAAUCUUGCCGUCUCUGAUGCCGAUAUCGGCCUUAUAAAUGCCCGUGUAGUCGAUGAUCGUUGCAUCACUGAUGAUCGUAUCUGCUACGAGAGGGUUGUUUUCGCGCGUUUCCGUUGCGUUAACGCCCAUGCCGUCGC
This 277-nucleotide small RNA is filed under the name Ligilactobacillus ruminis. RNAcentral describes it as "5' ureB small RNA". It matches the Rfam family "5' ureB small RNA". Lineage: Bacteria; Bacillati; Bacillota; Bacilli; Lactobacillales; Lactobacillaceae. The record is from RNAcentral.